Pezoporus occidentalis (night parrot) is the source of this 659-nucleotide long non-coding RNA. RefSeq lists it as uncharacterized. The transcript is spliced from 3 exons. Lineage: Eukaryota; Metazoa; Chordata; Aves; Psittaciformes; Psittacidae. The record is from RefSeq and is a predicted model, not a curated record.
UGGAGGUGGAUGCUCAUCAGUGGCUGAGCAUCAGCUGCUGCCUGUUGAAAUGGGUCGUUUGUGAAGGAAAAGGAGGUUAUUUCCCAGGCUGGAGGAGGUGAUGGAGUUUAGGGCUCUUGUGAGAGAAUAAGGAGGUGGCCUUGAAGCUGAAUGCUUUUGCAUCUUGAUUUCUCCAUUGGUGUUGGUCUACUUGAGCAGGUGGGACAUUACAGCAACGUCAGCCGCAUCCAAGGUACACAUGGAAUACCAUGAGGAAUGCUGUGCCAGCAUGUGGGAUCCAGCCCCAGAAAACAGCUGGAGGAGCCACAUGACCCCUUUGAAUCUCUCUUCACCCUUGACUGAGGUGGGAAGGGAGAAGAUGAUGAUGUUGUUAAAUGCCAGUGAUAAGGACAGUUUGGCUUUUGUAUGGUUAGAAGAGAUGGAGGAGGCAGAAACAUUCCUGGUUAUAUCAGGCAGCUGUGGAUGGUGAUGGGUCAUUUCACUCCAUUAUGGUUUCUGGCAAGCGAAUAUUAAAAGGGGUGUGAGGGCAUAGUUUCUCAGCAAUGACUUCAUUUGGCUGUCUAAGCAAACAGCCCCUCCUCACCAGGUGCAAAAGGCCUUGUAUUUGUGUUUUUUUCUUUCAUGAAGUGCAAAGAAAUACCUAAAGUGAAAAUAGCACC